UGUUUAAGAGAACUCUAAAAUGAUACGGCACAGACUGAGGCCAAUUACCCCUGUUACUCUGCUGCAUUUGAAAGGCAAAUCUGGGUUGUUCUGCCUCUUUGACCUGUAGGUAUGUGGUCACCAAAGAGAAAUCAGGUCUGAAUGGAAGGUUUAUACUUGAGGUUGAAGCCUGCUGUCUUGUCUGUUUUUGAACAGCGCCUGGAACUUUAUCAUGUUUCACGUAACUUGCAGCAUUUGUGCGCAACAUAAAGGAGUGAGGCUUCUGCUGGGGUUGUGUACAUGUACGUGAGUAGAGGUGGGCAGGAGAGCCCCAAGCAAAAUCCAUUCCAAGGUCAGUUUCAUAUAUUCAAAAUCAUCCAACCAGUAAUCCCUGUGUAUUCAGGCUGAUUUAGAAGCAAGACUGUCACUAAAUAGAUGACUGCAAUAAAAUGUCACAUUGGAGAGAGCCCUCGAAGUUCUCAGCAUUCGUCCUCCUUCACCCUUUCACCAGCUCCCGGUCAUGAAUCAUUCCGUCUUCAGAUUGAACUCCUGAUGCUUCGGUUCCAGAAAACAGCCCGACUUCCGCAAUUUUUCUUCAUUCUCACUAACAAUUUGGCUGGUGGUACUUCAGUCAAAUUCUAACUACGCAUUCAUACCUUGUGAUGUAUUAAUUUGACAUAUUUGUCAUACAGCUGCCGGACAGAAUGAGAGGAGGUUGUGAGAUAAACACGUACACUGCCUGUCUUUCCCUCAGAAAGGAGAAUCUGCAUGAUGUGAGCUGGAUGCUGGAGCCGAGGCUUAAGCUCUUUACGUAUUCUGAUUCCUUAGAAUUGACUGACUGCAGCUGAUGAGACUCACAAACUUUAUUGAAAUCCAGCUGGUUGUUAAAUAAGUCGAGGACCAACCUGCCUCCUUGGGCUCAUCGUGGCUUGAAGACGUUUAAAAGGGAAUAGGCGAUACUUUUAUGUUUCAUCCAGAAAUAAUUUGCCAACAGAAACUAGACAGUGAGCUGUGUGUACUAAUAUUUUGCUUCAAGGUCAUAUCAGCAUCGAAGCCUGUUGGUCACAAAUAAAAGAGUCACACACUCCCACUGCCCAGCUGCUGGCUGGCUGGUCCAAAUGCUUCUAACUGGAAAUUGCAGGUGUUUGUUAUUUCAAUGGUGCUUAGCUGAAAACUGUGUUGUUCUGAAUUAUUGCUUUCCUCUAGCUUUCUAAUACGUCCAUAAUUUCUCAGAUAUACUCACACUUUUACUGCAACAGGUUAGAUGACAACUGGCUGAAGCAGCAUUGGAUAAUAGUGGAAGAAGUGGCUUAGCAUUGAAAUUUUUUUCAGAGCUUUCUGAAUUGGCCUCCUACCAUUUUGAUGACAGGUACAGUUUUGGAGGGAGGGGGAAGAAAAGUGCCUGUUCUUCAGAAAGUCCUCCUCCAGACUGAUAGGCCCACAUUCCAUAAAGCAGCCUGCUGUCUUGUGUUGUGAAAAGAAUCAGCUUUUCCUAGGAACGCCAUUACUGUGUAAUGAGGCAUGCAGCAAAAUAUACCUUCAGCAGCACUUGAUGAAGGCUCGCUGACACACCAGACCAGACUGAAAUGUUUUUGUGUGUUCUUCCUUAUUUUGUCCAUCAAUCAUGUCAUUAGUCAAAGCAGACAGCCUUGUCAGCUGGGCACAGAUGCAGACUGGCAGCAGAUCAGUGGACAGGUGUUCGAG
Long non-coding RNA from Hypanus sabinus (Atlantic stingray), 1683 nucleotides. RefSeq lists it as uncharacterized. The transcript has 5 exons. The record is from RefSeq and is a predicted model, not a curated record. NCBI's taxonomy places the organism in Eukaryota, Metazoa, Chordata, Chondrichthyes, Myliobatiformes, Dasyatidae.